This 549-nucleotide ribosomal RNA is filed under the name Triticum aestivum (bread wheat). Its description in RNAcentral is "partial small subunit ribosomal RNA". The record is from RNAcentral. Lineage: Eukaryota; Viridiplantae; Streptophyta; Magnoliopsida; Poales; Poaceae.
AUGAGUAACACAACCAUCUCCAUCAUGAACUGGACUGUUCGGGGCCUGAACUCGCCGGCUAAGAGAGCAACCAUUUGUGAGACAGCCAACGCUCACAACCUCGCUCUCCUCUGUCUGCAAGGGACCAAGAUAGAUGCAUGGACACAGGGCAUCGUCAGAGAGAUCGAUGGUGGCCGUCUGGACAACUGCGCCGUGCUCCCGGCCGUGGGUACGCGCGGCGGGGAAGCAAUCUUCUGGGACUCCACCAAGGUCAUCGUGGCUACACACUCUGUGGGGCAGUUAUCCAUCACUACCAGUGUCCUCUAGCUGCGCACCAACACUUCUUUCUGGUUAACAACAUUGUACGGCCCCGCCGACGAAGCCAGGAAAGAUGAGUUCCUCGAUGAGAUGAUCAGAAUCAGGCCGCCCCACGGUGAGCCAUGGCUGAUCAACGGAGAUUUCAACAUCAUCUACGAGGCAAGAGACAAAAGCAACCACAACUUGAACAGUAGAAUUAUGGGCAGAUUCAGAGACGCCAUUGACAGGGCAAGCCUGAAAGAAAUCAAGUGC